Long non-coding RNA from Neltuma alba, 724 nucleotides. RefSeq lists it as uncharacterized. The record is from RefSeq and is a predicted model, not a curated record. Lineage: Eukaryota; Viridiplantae; Streptophyta; Magnoliopsida; Fabales; Fabaceae. The transcript is spliced from 2 exons.
GUAGGAACAGAGUCCUUCCAGAAGAUGUCGUGACCAGUUAUCGACGGCUUCGGAAUCAGAGGGAAUUGAUCAUCUUUCCCUUCUGGGAUUCCUCGGAAGAUUAGUGAUGUACCGUCUGCUGUAUGUAUGAAGAUUAUGGUAAAAGAAAAAUCCAACCUUUUUACUGCUAUACUCCCAGCAUGACUCUAUGAUUUGAUCGUUUUUUGUAGUAAAUGAGCUGGAUCUCUGGAAAUUCUGUAGAUAUUAGAGUUUCUAUCAGACCAGUUCACGUUGAAAAUAUCUCAGCAGAAGUAGAUAUUUGUGGAGAUAUUACUCUGCAGAUUUUCAUGGAGAUCCAUUCUCACAGAAGCAGUUAGAUUCUUAUUGUCUACAAGGGAAAUUUUUCAGAGAGUGACAUUGAUGGUUAGGUAGGUGGAGAAGUUAGAAGGUUUAAUGGAUCAAAAAGGUACAAACGUAGAAGCAAUUUAAGAGCAACUUUGGUUGAAUGUAAGACCCCACAACUCCACAAAUCCAGAUUUAUGUGAAGGGCGCACAAGAGUUAGCUGAGUAUAAUUGAAGUAUUGAUUAAAGAGCUGAUAAUAUCGAGAGAGCUUCAGAGGACGAUAGGUUCACUGGAUUUGCUGAAGUAAGGAACGAAGUGGUACUGCAAAUUAAACUAAUCAACCAAGUUUAAUGUAAUGUUUCGCCAGAUUUAAACAAAAUAAUUAUAAAUUGACACUUCGUA